RNAcentral lists this ribosomal RNA (711 nucleotides) under uncultured Gammaproteobacteria bacterium. RNAcentral describes it as "bacterial SSU rRNA". It matches the Rfam family "Bacterial small subunit ribosomal RNA", at positions 201 to 890 of the family's 1533-position model. Lineage: Bacteria; Pseudomonadati; Pseudomonadota; Gammaproteobacteria. The record is from RNAcentral.
AGAAAGAAGGCCUCUCUUUGAAGCUUUCGCUACUAGAUGAGCCCUGCGUAAGAUUAGCUUGUUGGUGAGGUAAAGGCUCACCAAGGCAACGAUCUUUAGCUGGUCUGAGAGGACGAUCAGCCACAUUGGGACUGAGACACGGCCCCAGACUCCUUACGGGAGGCAGCAGUGGGGAAUAUUGGACAAUGGGCGCAAGCCUGAUCCAGCCAUACCGCGUGUGUGAAGAAGGCCUUCGGGUUGUAAAGCACUUUAAGCAGGGAGAAAAAGUUAUAAGCUAAUACCUUAUAACCCUUGAUGUUACCUGCAGAAUAAGCACCGGCUAAUUCCGUGCCAGCAGCCGCGGUAAUACGGAAGGUGCAAGCGUUAAUCGGAAUUACUGGGCGUAAAGCGCGCGUAGGUGGUUUGUUAAGUUGGAUGUGAAAGCCCUGGGCUCAACCUAGGAACUGCAUCCAAAACUAACUCACUAGAGUACGAUAGAGGGAGGUAGAAUUCAUAGUGUAGCGGUGGAAUGCGUAGAUAUUAUGAAGAAUACCAGUGGCGAAGGCGGCCUCCUGGAUCUGUACUGACACUGAGGUGCGAAAGCGUGGGUAGCGAACAGGAUUAGAUACCCUGGUAGUCCACGCCGUAAACGAUGACAACUAGCUGUUAGGAGACUAUGUCUUUUAGUGGCGCAGCUAACGUUUUAAGUUGUCCGCUGGGGAGUACGGCGCA